GUAGGUGGCAAGCGUUGUCCGGAAUUAUUGGGCGUAAAGCGCGCGCAGGCGGUUCUUUAAGUCUGAUGUGAAAGCCCACGGCUCAACCGUGGAGGGUCAUUGGAAACUGGAGAACUUGAGUACAGAAGAGGAAAGCGGAAUUCCACGGGUAGCGGUGAAAUGCGUAGAGAUGUGGAGGAACACCAGUGGCGAAGGCGGCUUUCUGGUCUGUAACUGACGCUGAGGCGCGAAAGCGUGGGGAGCAAACAGGGAUUAGAUACCCUGGUAGUCCACGCCGUAAACGAUGAGUGCUAAGUGUUAGGGGGGUUUCCGCCCCCUUAGUGCUGCAGCUAACGCAUUAAGCACUCCGCCUGGGGAUACGGCCGCAAGGCUG
RNAcentral lists this ribosomal RNA (373 nucleotides) under uncultured organism. RNAcentral's name for it is "partial 16S ribosomal RNA". It matches the Rfam family "Bacterial small subunit ribosomal RNA", at positions 527 to 896 of the family's 1533-position model. The record is from RNAcentral.